This 1115-nucleotide ribosomal RNA is filed under the name Melampsora sp. SAL 97. Its description in RNAcentral is "eukaryotic LSU rRNA". It matches the Rfam family "Eukaryotic large subunit ribosomal RNA", at positions 1 to 1097 of the family's 3401-position model. Lineage: Eukaryota; Fungi; Basidiomycota; Pucciniomycetes; Pucciniales; Melampsoraceae. The record is from RNAcentral.
UAGACUUCAAAUCAGGUGGGACUACCCGCUGAACUUAAGCAUAUCAAUAAGCGGAGGAAAAGAAAAUAACUAUGAUUCCCUUAGUAACGGCGAGUGAACAGGGAAAAGCCCAAAUUUGUAAUCUGGCAUUGUUUACCAAUGUCCGAGUUGUAAUUUGUAGAACUGUUAUCCGUGCUGGACCAUGUACAAGUCUGUUGAAAAACAGCAUCAUUGAAGGUGAAAAUCCUGUAAAUGAUAUGGACUACCAGUGCAUUUGUGAUACGGUUUCUAAGAGUCGAGUUGUUUGGGAAUGCAGCUCAAAGUGGGUGGUAAAUUCCAUCUAAGGCUAAAUAUAAGUGAGAGACCGAUAGCAWACAAGUACCGUGAGGGAAAGAUGAAAAGAACUUUGAAAAUAGAGUUAACAGUACGUGAAAUUGCUGAAAGGGAAACGUUUGAAGUUAGUAUUGUAUUCGUUGGAUCAGCUUCGCAAGAGGUCUAUUCCGAUGAUAAGCAAGUCAACAUCAGUCUAUGAGUGUUGGAAAARRGGCUCGAGAAUGUAGCAAUUUAAUUGUGUUAUAGCUUGGGACUUUGAAUACAACGCUCUUGAUUGAGGAACGCGUAGUAAGCUUUGAGCGGGUUCGAAAGAGCCUCCUUACUAUGGAUGUUGGUGAAAUAACUUUAAGCGACCCGUCUUGAAACACGGACCAAGGAGUCUAACAUGCUUGCGAGUAUUAGGGCGUUGAAACCCGAAUGCGUAAUGAAAGUGAUUUCAGAUGUGAUCCGCAAGGUGCAACAUCGGCCGGUCCUGAUUAUUUAUAUGACGGUACUGAGCAAGAGCAAGUAUGUUAGGACCCGAAAGAUGGUGAACUAUGCCUGGAUAGGGUGAAGUCAGAGGAAACUCUGAUGGAAGCUCGUAGCGGUUCUGACGUGCAAAUCGAUCGUAGAAUCUGGGUAUAGGGGCGAAAGACUAAUCGAACCAUCUAGUAGCUGGUUCCUGCCGAAGUUUCCCUCAGGAUAGCAAAGACUUUUUGAAUUAGUUUUAUGAGGUAAAGCGAAUGAUUAGAGGGCUUGGGGAUGUAAUGUUCUUAACCUAUUCUCAAACUUUAAAUAUGUAAGACGUACUUGUUUCUUAAUUG